GGAGGACGUUAAAUGAUGAUGACAAUGAAGGCUAUCUGUCAAUAAGUAUUGGUCACAUGGUACCAAGUUCUAAGAAGCAUUUAAGUAGAACUUCAUCAGUGGUUCAAUAUCUCUCAGAUUCACUACUGGUGGCAACUCCUUGAAUUCUACCUCCACUCCUGGUUUCAUGUCAUGGACUAUGACCAUGCUGUAUCAAAGUCUUUUAGUCCGUAGCCGAUUGCAUCAAUAUAAUAAGGAAGAAAUGCAAAAUGGAUCCGAGUGGGGUUCCGCAAAGCGAAACAACCAAAUACUUUGAGGUAUUACGUCUAACGUUUUUACUAAUUCUGCUAAUCAUCACUGUAUAUUGAUCUGAAAUACCAAUACUGUCUUUCUUUUUGUUUAACCCAGCUCAAACCUGAUCGACCAGCAACCUACGCUACGGACAUGGUUAGUCGGUU
This is a long non-coding RNA of Octopus bimaculoides (California two-spot octopus), 437 nucleotides long. The record is from RefSeq and is a predicted model, not a curated record. NCBI's taxonomy places the organism in Eukaryota, Metazoa, Mollusca, Cephalopoda, Octopoda, Octopodidae.